Molecule: ribosomal RNA, 253 nt
Filed under: uncultured bacterium
Lineage: Bacteria
Description: partial 16S ribosomal RNA
Rfam family: Bacterial small subunit ribosomal RNA
Source: RNAcentral
UACGUAGGGUGCAAGCGUUGUCCGGAAUUAUUGGGCGUAAAGAGCUUGUAGGCGGUCCGGUAAGUCCGCUGUGAAAGUCGGGGGCUCAACCCUCGGAUGCCGGUGGAUACUGGCGGGCUUGAGUACGGAAGAGGCGAGUGGAAUUCCUGGUGUAGCGGUGAAAUGCGCAGAUAUCAGGAGGAACACCAAUUGCGAAGGCAGCUCGCUGGGACGUUACUGACGCUGAGACGCGAAAGCGUGGGGAGCAAACAGG